CCUACGGGUGGCAGCAGUGGGGAAUAUUGGACAAUGGGCGAAAGCCUGAUCCAGCCAUGCCGCGUGUGUGAAGAAGGCCUUCGGGUUGUAAAGCACUUUCAGUGGGGAAGAAAGCCUUGGGGCUAAUACCCUCGAGGAAGGACAUCACCCACAGAAGAAGCACCGGCUAACUCCGUGCCCGCAGCCGCGGUAAUACGGAGGGUGCGAGCGUUAAUCGGAAUUACUGGGCGUAAAGCGCGCAUAGGCGGUCUGAUAAGCCGGUUGUGAAAGCCCCGGGCUCAACCUGGGAACGGCAUCCGGAACUGUCAGGCUAGAGUGCAGGAGAGGAAGGUAGAAUUCCCGGUGUAGCGGUGAAAUGCGUAGAGAUCGGGAGGAAUACCAGUGGCGAAGGCGGCCUUCUGGACUGACACUGACGCUGAGGUGCGAAAGCGUGGGUAGCAAACAGGAUUAGAUACCCCAGUAGUC
This 465-nucleotide ribosomal RNA is filed under the name Vreelandella stevensii. RNAcentral describes it as "partial 16S ribosomal RNA". It matches the Rfam family "Bacterial small subunit ribosomal RNA", at positions 338 to 795 of the family's 1533-position model. The record is from RNAcentral. Lineage: Bacteria; Pseudomonadati; Pseudomonadota; Gammaproteobacteria; Oceanospirillales; Halomonadaceae.